AUCAGAAUAUUAAAUAAUAAGCUAAAUCUAUUAGUCAUAAUAUAUAUAUAUAUAUAUAUCUACAUCUACUAUAUAUUAAAAGAAAAAUAAGGGGUACCGAAGAGAGGCUAAACGUUGAUCCACAUCAUCCGAAUUAAUUUAACAUGAAGCAACCAGAUGACAGACGCAUCUUUUUUUUAACCUAAACAAACUCUUACAGUUCAGGUUUAUUUUCCAUAAAGUCUGCUACACGUGCCUUCGUUGAAGCCGCCACCCUCAAUGCUGGAGCGUGCGCCACAUGUCUUCGCUGGUGACAAGGUAGGCCAAGCUUUGGAAGGGAAUCGUAGAGCCCACGUCCAUAAUGAAAAAUGUUUACGGAUAUGCGUGAACUAGGUUGCGUUGCAGCAAUUCAUCGAGAUCAAACAAAUUAAUACUUCAGCAAAGUCCUACGCACAUUUGGUGUCAUGUCAUUAUUAACUGGAAUUUUUACAUUCGGUGGUAAUUAGCGACUUAACACGGUGCCAUCCAAGAGUUCAGUGGUAAUUAGUGGUCUGAUCUUCGUCUCCACGUGGGGUGGCCAAUGCAAGUGCUUGCAACAUCACAGCACGGCGGCUUUGCAGCUUGCACGCGCGGUGCUCUCCACACCUCCGCUGCUGUGAUCAGCCGCCCCAGCGCCAUUGGCCAUUGCUGCCAUGAUCCGUCGUCGUCGAGACGCCAUCAGGUCUCUAUUGUCGUGAUCCACGGCCGCCACAACGCUCUAUCAGCUGCCACCGGAUGCCACCUCGCUCACUCGCUGCACCGCGCGCCAGCUCGCAAGGAAUGCUUGACGCAUCAUCGGUCCAAAAUAAUAAUUAAAUACUAAAAAUAUAUAAGUUUGUGAUCAAUGUCUAAAAGGAAAUUUAAAAAUUAUAUAAAAUAAUAUUGCAUAAAGUAAAAUGUAGCAAAUGCAUAAGUUCCUUAUUCAAGCUCAACGCUUAUAUUGCAAAUAAUCUUAAUAAAAUACAAAUCUGUUGCUAAAAAAAUAUAAUGACAAUCUAAUCUACAAUAUAAUGUGUUAUUGAAUCAAUCUAAUGAUACAUAAUAUUCCAUCUUAUCAUUUCAAAAAAUUUGUCUUCACGAAAAACAAUAAAAAAAAAGCUAUACAUAUUUUGGUUAAGUAAAAUAUAUAAGAAAUCAAAUAUUUCAUUAUACAAGUCUAGCCGCGCAAUCUGCGCAGGUCGCCCCAAUCAUUUCUAGCCGUUAGGUAUGAGAUCUACCAGUCCUACAAGCAAUAUGAGAUGUACCUGGGGAGCCUCCACAUUGAUUCACAUCACCCCAAUUAUUUCCAGACGUUAGAUGUCAGAUAUACGAAUCCUACAAAUCGUUCGUUUGAUGUUACGUUCGGCUGAACCUCUAAAAAGAAACAUCGUGUCCAAACUAACAACAGGAAGUAGUGGAGGGAGGCGCCAAGCAGAGCAACAAUGAAGCGAUAGACAAGGGUGGGAGUACUGUGGCGGCUGUGGCCUCGCCGCCUAGGGGAAUUGGGUAAUGAAAGGCUCA
This 1518-nucleotide long non-coding RNA is filed under the name Brachypodium distachyon (stiff brome). RNAcentral describes it as "long non-coding RNA (BDIS_LNC000384)". The record is from RNAcentral. Lineage: Eukaryota; Viridiplantae; Streptophyta; Magnoliopsida; Poales; Poaceae.